GCAUAUCAAUAAGCGGAGGAAAAGAAACUAACAAGGAUUCCCUUAGUAACGGCGAGUGGAGAGGGAAGAGCUCAAAUUUUAAAUCUAUCAUGUUGUACAUGAUCGAGUUGUAAUUUGAAGAAGCGUUUUCUCGUACUUUAUGAUCAGUAUAAGUUCUCUUGGAACAGGACAUCAUAGAGGGUGAUAAUCCCGUCUGUUACUGAUUGUGAGGUUCGUUUAUGAUACGCUUUCAAAGAGUCGAGUUGUUUGGGAUUGCAGCUCCAAAUGGGUGGUAAACAUCACCUAAGGCUAAAUAUUUGCGAGAGACCGAUAGCGAACAAGUACCGUGAGGGAAAGAUGAAAAGAACUUUGAAAAGAGAGUUAAAAAGUAUGUGAAAUUGUUGAAAGGGAAACGAUUGAAGUCAGUCGUGCAGUCAUCAAUUCAGCGGUUAACAUUUUAUGUUUCCGUGUAAUUUGGUGUCUGUUGGUUAGCAUCAAUUUUGAUUGUUAUAAAAAGGUUAAGGGGAUGUGGCUCCUUCGGGAGUGUUAUAACCCUUAGCGUAAUGUGACGAUUAGGAUUGAGGUUUGCAACGAAUACCUUUUAGGGCAGUUUCACCUGGCCUCUCGUGGAAUUAUAGAUAGUUAAGAGCAUGCUCUUACUGUCUAUGAUUCUACGAAAAGGUUGGAGUGUAAAACUAAUUCGUUAAGGAUGUUGACGUA
This 699-nucleotide ribosomal RNA is filed under the name uncultured Glomerales. Its description in RNAcentral is "LSU rRNA". It matches the Rfam family "Eukaryotic large subunit ribosomal RNA", at positions 38 to 633 of the family's 3401-position model. Lineage: Eukaryota; Fungi; Glomeromycota; Glomeromycetes; Glomerales; Glomeraceae. The record is from RNAcentral.